AUUGAACGCUGGCGGCAGGCUUAACACAUGCAAGUCGAGCGGAGAUGAGGUGCUUGCACCUUAUCUUAGCGGCGGACGGGUGAGUAAUGCUUAGGAAUCUGCCUAUUAGUGGGGGACAACAUUCCGAAAGGAAUGCUAAUACCGCAUACGUCCUACGGGAGAAAGCAGGGGAUCUUCGGACCUUGCGCUAAUAGAUGAGCCUAAGUCGGAUUAGCUAGUUGGUGGGGUAAAGGCCUACCAAGGCGACGAUCUGUAGCGGGUCUGAGAGGAUGAUCCGCCACACUGGGACUGGGACACGGCCCAGACUCCUGCGGGGGGCAGCAGUGGGGAAUAUUGGACAAUGGGGGAAACCCUGAUCCAGCCAUGCCGCGUGUGUGAAGAAGGCCUUAUGGUUGUAAAGCACUUUAAGUGAGGAGGAGGCUACUGAGACUAAUACUCUUGGAUAGUGGACGUUACUCGCAGAAUAAGCACCGGCUAACUCUGUGCCAGCCGCCGCGGUAA
RNAcentral lists this ribosomal RNA (501 nucleotides) under uncultured bacterium. Its description in RNAcentral is "partial 16S ribosomal RNA". It matches the Rfam family "Bacterial small subunit ribosomal RNA", at positions 30 to 523 of the family's 1533-position model. The record is from RNAcentral.